RNAcentral lists this ribosomal RNA (774 nucleotides) under uncultured Neocallimastigales. RNAcentral describes it as "partial large subunit ribosomal RNA". It matches the Rfam family "Eukaryotic large subunit ribosomal RNA", at positions 24 to 620 of the family's 3401-position model. Lineage: Eukaryota; Fungi; Neocallimastigomycota; Neocallimastigomycetes; Neocallimastigales. The record is from RNAcentral.
UAUGUGAUCGUCUCUCGCAUAUCAAUAAGCGGAGGAAAAGAAACUAACAAGGAUUCCCUUAGUAACGGCGAGUGAAGCGGGAAGAGCUCAAAUUUGAAAUCUUCAAGGUUUUACCUUGACGAAUUGUAGUUUAAAGAAGUGUUUUCUGUUGAAGUUUUGGUAAAAGUUCUUUGGAAUAGGACAUCAUAGAGGGUGAGAAUCCCGUAUUUGACCAUUAUCUUCAGCUGUGUGAUACACUUUCAAAGAGUCGGAUUGUUUGGGAAUGCAGUCCAAAAUGGGUGGUAAAUUUCAUCUAAAGCUAAAUAUUGGCGAGAGACCGAUAGCGAACAAGUACCGUGAGGGAAAGAUGAAAAGAACUUUGAAAAGAGAGUUAAACAGUACGUGAAAUUGUCAAAAGGGAAGCGUUUGACACCAGUGUUGUUUUCUCGAAAAUCAAUUAAAAAGAGUUAGAUUUUGUUGUGUAUUGACCUUAACAGCUUGCAUUUCAAUUUUCUUGCUUUUUUUAAUGCACUUUUCGUUUAACAAGUCAACAUCAGUUUCUUUUGUUGUAAAAAGGUCAUUGGAAGGUGGCUUUCUUUUCGGAGAAAGUGUUUAUAGCCUUUGACUCCUGCAAUCGGAGAGACUGAGGUCUGCAGCGUAGAUCCUUCGGGGUUAGAUACAUUUGUGCUAAGUUAUAGCUUUUUAUAGACAACUUGUUGACUAUGAUUAGUCUUGUAGCUUACUCGCUUAUGCUAUUUUACCUACGCUUAGGAUGUUGAAGAUGUAGCACAUCAU